Molecule: ribosomal RNA, 497 nt
Filed under: uncultured bacterium
Lineage: Bacteria
Description: partial 16S ribosomal RNA
Rfam family: Bacterial small subunit ribosomal RNA
Source: RNAcentral
GAUGAACGCUGGCGGCGUGCCUAAUACAUGCAAGUCGAGCGAACGGACGAGAAGCUUGCUUUUCUGAUGUUAGCGGCGGACGGGUGAGUAACACGUGGAUAACCUACCUAUAAGACUGGGAUAACUUCGGGAAACCGGAGCUAAUACCGGAUAAUAUUUUGAACCGCAUGGUUCAAAAGUGAAAGACGGUCUUGCUGUCACUUAUAGAUGGAUCCGCGCUGCACUAGCUAGUUGGUAAGGUAACGGCUUACCAAGGCAACGAUGCAUAGCCGACCUGAGAGGGUGAUCGGCCACACUGGAACUGAGACACGGUCCAGACUCCUACGGGAGGCAGCAGUAGGGAAUCUUCCGCAAAGGGCGAAAGCCUGACGGAGCAACGCCGCGUGAGUGAUGAAGGUCUUCGGAUCGUAAAACUCUGUUAUUAGGGAAGAACAUAUGUGUAAGUAACUGUGCACAUCUUGACGGUACCUAAUCAGAAAGCCACGGCUAACUACGUG